RNAcentral lists this unclassified non-coding RNA (305 nucleotides) under Bombus terrestris (buff-tailed bumblebee). RNAcentral's name for it is "misc RNA ENSBTSG00005029111.1". Lineage: Eukaryota; Metazoa; Arthropoda; Insecta; Hymenoptera; Apidae. The record is from RNAcentral.
GCCAAAAGUAAAAGUGCUCUUUCGAGACUAUCGAAGUGAUCGCAAAGAGGAAAGGAAGGACCGCACAAUGCGUGAACAACAAACACGCAUUAACCCGAGGAAAGAGAAGGGCAACUGAUGGUUACUUGACGGGAAUGUGUGAUUAGAGGGACGAGGACGCACUGAGCGCGAGAAACACGGAGCAGGAUUUCUCGGCGUACAAUUAAACUGAGCUGACCCUUGAACCCUGACGCUUCAUACGGCAGAUAAUGCAGGCGAGCUCCAAUAUUUGUCCGGAUUAUACAAACCUCUAUGGCACGGAAUCC